UUCCGUAGCAAUACGGAAUGGCGCACGGCGCACGGGUGCGUAACACGUGGGUAAUCUGCCCUCUGAUGGGGAAUAACUCGCCGAAAGGCGAGCUAAUUCCGCAUAAUAUUCCGAAAAUUUCGAUUUUCGGACUGAAAGGCGUAAGUCGUCGGAGGAGGAGCCCGCGCACGAUUAACUAGUUGGUAGGGUAAUGGCCUACCAAGGCUGUGAUCGUUAGCUGGUCUGAGAGGAUGGCCAGCCACACUGGAACUGAGACACGGUCCAGACUCCUACGGGAGGCAGCAGUGGGGAAUCUUGCACAAUGGGCGAAAGCCUGAUGCAGCGACGCCGCGUGGGGGAUGAAGCUUCUCGGAGUGUAAACCCCUUUCGAUCCGGACGAAUGCCCGCAAGGGAGUGACGGUACGGAUAUAAGAAGCCCCGGCUAACUACGUGCCAGCAGCCGCGGUAAUACGUAGGGGGCCAGCGUUGUUCGGAAUUACUGGGUGUAAAGGGUUCGUAGGCGGUGCGGCAAGUUGGGAGUGAAAUCUCUGGGCUCAACCCAGAGACGGCUUCCAAAACUGCUGUGCUUGAGUGUGAGAGAGGCUCGUGGAAUUGCAGGUGUAGCGGUGAAAUGCGUAGAUAUCUGCAGGAACACCCGUGGCGAAAGCGGCGAGCUGGAUCACUACUGACGCUGAAGAACGAAAGCUAGGGGAGCAAACAGGAUUAGAUACCCUGGUAGUCCUAGCCCUAAACGAUCAGGACUUGGGGUGCCACCCGUUCGGGUGGCGUCCCGGAGCUAACGCGUUAAGUCCUGCACCUGGGGAGUACGGUCGCAAAACUGAAACUC
RNAcentral lists this ribosomal RNA (826 nucleotides) under uncultured Pseudomonadota bacterium. RNAcentral describes it as "bacterial SSU rRNA". It matches the Rfam family "Bacterial small subunit ribosomal RNA", at positions 72 to 902 of the family's 1533-position model. Lineage: Bacteria; Pseudomonadati; Pseudomonadota. The record is from RNAcentral.